RNAcentral lists this ribosomal RNA (1224 nucleotides) under Triticum aestivum (bread wheat). RNAcentral's name for it is "partial small subunit ribosomal RNA". The record is from RNAcentral. Lineage: Eukaryota; Viridiplantae; Streptophyta; Magnoliopsida; Poales; Poaceae.
AUGGCCACCGCCGCCGCUUCGCCGCCGCCGACCGCCACCGAGGACAACGUCCGCCUCCUUCUCCCUGGAUUUCUCUCCCCCGAGACCUGCAAGGAGCUGGAGUUCGUGCACCGGAGCUGCGGGACGGCGGGGUACCGGCCUUCGGUGGUGUCUACAUCGCUGCCGCAUCUGGCUGCCACCGGCUGCGGCCACCUACUCCUCCCCUUCGUGCCCAUCCGCGAGCGACUUCGCGACGCCGUCGAGUCCUUCUUCUCCUGCCACUUCGACCUCUUCGUCGAGUUCACCGGACUAGUCAGUUGGUGCAAGGGGGCUUCUAUUGGAUGGCACAGUGACGACAACAAACCUUAUCUUAGGCAAAGAGCCUUCACGGCUGUGUGCUACUUGAACAAUCAUGGAAAGGACUUUAAGGGUGGACUGUUGAAGUUUCAGGAUGGUGAACCCUCCUCUGUUAUUCCAGUUGCUGGUGAUGCUGUCAUCUACACUGCUGAUAAUCGUAAUGUCCAUUGUGUAGAUGAGGUAACUGAGGGUGAAAGGCUGACACUUACUCUUUGGUUCACUAGAGAUAGUUCUUUUGAUGAGGAUCCAAAGCUCCUUAGUUUUCUAUCCCAGACAUCACUGAGCUAUGAGCCAGCUGAUCAGAACUCUUACAUUCCUUUGCCAGCCUCAGAUAACAUGUACUGGUUUUCCUACGAUCAGUCUGGCUUUGACAUACGAUGUGCUAGAAUACACAUUCUUGGGUUUAGUUUUCGUGCAAGCAGCGAUGAAGACAGCAAGAGUACAUGUGCUGCACCAGCUGAUGACCCCAUAGAGUUGCUUGGGAAGCCACUGCGAAUUGGGAGGGCAGAUGAUGUCUUUGGGAAGAUAUUUGCCAACAGCUUGCACGCUCUUCAGGUGGUGCAAUUUUACUACUGGAAAGCACCUGAGCUGGCAGCAAGGAGAAACCAGACUACUGGUGGUUCAGAAACAGUUUGCUACCCUACUAUACAAGUACAGCAAUCAAGUGGAACGGAACUUCCAUUACCGUGUAACCAUGGACUUGCACAAACCAUAUUUGGAUCAUAUAGCAGUGUGGAUUCUGUUAUUGAAUGGGAUGAUGUUGUGUUAGCACUUGAUAUGUGGGAGAAUUAUUCAGAAGAAUUGAGGAGAAAGUUGUCGAUAUUCUUGCCAAAUUGGCUGUCCAACGGAACCAUUUUUGUUGUAGAUCCCUCCGAGCCCACCCAGUGA